AAUCAACGCUGGCGGCGUGCCUCAGACAUGCAAGUCGAACGCGAAAGUCCCCUUCGGGGGACAAGUAGAGUGGCGCACGGGUGAGUAACACGUAGGUAAUCUACCUUCGGGUGGGGAAUAACAACCGGAAACGGUUGCUAAUACCGCAUAAUGCAGCGGCACCUAAUGGUGACAGUUGUUAAAGCGGGGGAUCGCAAGACCUCGCGCCUGAAGAGGAGCCUGCGGCGGAUUAGCUAGUUGGCAGGGUAACGGCCUACCAAGGCAACGAUCCGUAGCCGGCCUGAGAGGGCGGUCGGCCACACUGACACUGACAUACGGGUCAGACUCCUACGGGAGGCAGCAGUCGGGAAUUUUGGGCAAUGGGCGAAAGCCUGACCCAGCAACGCCGCGUGAAGGAUGAAAUCCCUCGGGAUGUAAACUUCGCAAGAACGGGGAGAAUAAGCCGGUGUGAAUACCACCGGCGAUGACGGUACCGUUGUAAGCUCCGGCUAACUCCGUGCCAGCAGCCGCGGUAAUACGGGA
This 522-nucleotide ribosomal RNA is filed under the name uncultured bacterium. RNAcentral's name for it is "bacterial SSU rRNA". It matches the Rfam family "Bacterial small subunit ribosomal RNA", at positions 32 to 530 of the family's 1533-position model. The record is from RNAcentral.